GACGAAUGCUGGCGGCGUGCUUAACACAUGCAAGUCGAACGGAAAGGCCCUGCUUUUGUGGGGUGCUCGAGUGGCGAACGGGUGAGUAACACGUGAGUAACCUGCCCUUGACUUUGGGAUAACUUCAGGAAACUGGGGCUAAUACCGGAUAGGAGCUCCUGCUGCAUGGUGGGGGUUGGAAAGUUUCGGCGGUUGGGGAUGGACUCGCGGCUUAUCAGCUUGUUGGUGGGGUAGUGGCUUACCAAGGCUUUGACGGGUAGCCGGCCUGAGAGGGUGACCGGCCACAUUGGGACUGAGAUACGGCCCAGACUCCUACGGGAGGCAGCAGUGGGGAAUAUUGCACAAUGGGCGGAAGCCUGAUGCAGCAACGCCGCGUGCGGGAUGACGGCCUUCGGGUUGUAAACCGCUUUCGCCUGUGACGAAGCGUGAGUGACGGUAAUGGGUAAAGAAGCACCGGCUAACUACGUGCCAGCAGCCGCGGUGAUACGUAGGGUGCGAGCGUUGUCCGGAUUUAUUGGGCGUAAAGGGCUCGUAGGUGGUUGAUCGCGUCGGAAGUGUAAUCUUGGGGCUUAACCCUGAGCGUGCUUUCGAUACGGGUUGACUUGAGGAAGGUAGGGGAGAAUGGAAUUCCUGGUGGAGCGGUGGAAUGCGCAGAUAUCAGGAGGAACACCAGUGGCGAAGGCGGUUCUCUGGGCCUUUCCUGACGCUGAGGGGCGAAAGCGUGGGGAGCGAACAGGCUUAGAUACCCUGGUAGUCCACGCUGUAAACGGUGGGUACUAGGUGUGGGGUCCAUUCCACGGGUUCCGUGCCGUAGCUAACGCUUUAAGUACCCCGCCUGGGGAGUACGGCCGCAAGGCUAAAACUCAAAGGAAUUGACGGGGCCCCGCACAAGCGGCGGAGCAUGCGGAUUAAUUCGAUGCAACGCGUAGAACCUUACCUGGGUUUGACAUGGAUCGGGAGUGCUCAGAGAUGGGUGUGCCUCUUUUGGGGUCGGUUCACAGGUGGUGCAUGCCUGUCGUCAGCUCGUGUCGUGAGAUGUUGGGUUAAGUCCCGCAACGAGCGCAACCCUUGUUCACUGUUGCCAGCACGUUAUGGUGGGGACUCAGUGGAGACCGCCGGGGUCAACUCGGAGGAAGGUGGGGAUGACGUCAAGUCAUCAUGCCCCUUAUGUCCAGGGCUUCACGCAUGCUACAAUGGCUGGUACAGAGAGUGGCGAGCCUGUGAGGGUGAGCGAAUCUCGGAAAGCCGGUCUCAGUUCGGAUUGGGGUCUGCAACUCGACCUCAAGAAGUCGGAGUCGCUAGUAAUCGCAGAUCAGCAACGCUGCGGUGAAUACGUUCCCGGGGCU
This 1346-nucleotide ribosomal RNA is filed under the name uncultured bacterium. RNAcentral describes it as "partial 16S ribosomal RNA". It matches the Rfam family "Bacterial small subunit ribosomal RNA", at positions 28 to 1381 of the family's 1533-position model. The record is from RNAcentral.